This 253-nucleotide ribosomal RNA is filed under the name uncultured bacterium. Its description in RNAcentral is "partial 16S ribosomal RNA". It matches the Rfam family "Bacterial small subunit ribosomal RNA", at positions 524 to 776 of the family's 1533-position model. The record is from RNAcentral.
UACGUAGGGUGCAAGCGUUAAUCGGAAUUACUGGGCGUAAAGCGUGCGCAGGCGGUGAUGUAAGACAGAUGUGAAAUCCCCGGGCUCAACCUGGGAACUGCAUUUGUGACUGCAUCGCUGGAGUACGGCAGAGGGGGAUGGAAUUCCGCGUGUAGCAGUGAAAUGCGUAGAUAUGCGGAGGAACACCGAUGGCGAAGGCAAUCCCCUGGGCCUGUACUGACGCUCAGGCACGAAAGCGUGGGGAGCAAACAGG